This is an RNA transcript of Eucalyptus grandis, 626 nucleotides long. RefSeq lists it as uncharacterized. The record is from RefSeq and is a predicted model, not a curated record. Lineage: Eukaryota; Viridiplantae; Streptophyta; Magnoliopsida; Myrtales; Myrtaceae. The transcript has 2 exons.
GUAGACAUGCCAAUCACAAGUUCACAAGCGCCCUGCAAAACCACUCCUAAAGGAUGGCUGCCUGUAGGUUGAUGUUGGUGUUGGUGGCGGUGGCGGUAGUGGCCGUCGCGUUGGCGGGAGGUUCGGAGGCGAUAACGCUGUGCAAGAUGAGCGAUGAUCAGCUCACGGCUUGCAAGCCGGCGGUGACGAAGCCGGACCCGGCGGAGCCGACGAAGGAGUGCUGCGAAGGGCUCUCGGGGGCGGACCUGAGCUGCCUCUGCUCGUACAAGAACUCGGCCAUAUUGCCGGCUCUGGGGAUCGAUCCCGAUCUCGCGAUGGGGUUGCCUGCUAAGUGCGGUCUCACUCCUCCCGCCAAUUGCUAAGGUUACGCAAGGGAGUCUCGGGGGAGCCUCAAUGAGCUAUAAAUCUCGAGAUGGAUUGCAUAAAGCUCGUGUGGCUCAUCAUUUUCCGACGCUCUUAGUGGAUGCUGCUUCCGCUUUUAUCUGUAUUCUUAUUGUCUGUGUGCUUGCAACUGGGUUGUCCUGUUCGUUAGAAGAUUGAUAUCAUUAUCAUCUUUGCGCUCCCGCACUUCUUAUUGAAUCGACAGAGUUCGGGUCUCGAGUUAAUGGAAAACUUUCUUUAGAAUA